AUGACUGGAAGUAAGUACCGGAAUCUAAAACCAAGCGAAAUACGUUUUUGUCAGAACUCAAUCGGGAAUGAAUUCAACAUGAAAAGCAAACAUGCCGACAAAAAAGUCGGUGAGACAUUAGAUGACUUGCUGAGAGGACAAUGUGCUAUCUCGAAUAUACCUAUUAUAACUGUUGUUUGUUAUGGAGGAGAUUGGUACACCGCCGAUAACAGAAGACUGUGGGUUUUCAAAUGGCUUCAAAGGCUUGGCAGAUGUGACGAAAUCCUUGUUAAAAUAGGCCGUCGAAUACCCCCUAAUAAAUUCACAGCAAAAUAUAACAAGAAGCCCUUUCAUGUACGAGGUGAUGAUCCAGGGGGUGUUUUGUGGAAACGGUUGGCUAAUGAGCAGAAAGCUGAUGAAAAUCCGUCUGAAACACUCUCAAACAUGCAUCAUGAGAGGCCUGUUCCAGAACUCUGUGAUGAAGUAGGGCCAACGAAUGGUCGAUGUUCCUCUCGCCCUUAUGAGAAUCAAAGAAAUGAUGCAUCCCCUUCCGUGAUGGGAAUACACUACAAUCAAGACGAGGUAAAUGAUGAAAGGUCCGCUGAUAAAGACUUUUAACAAGAGACAGACGGGAAUAUCCAAGACAAAAUGUUGGCUGGUCUACUCCAUUACAAUCUCCUCCUCCGGAUUUGUCUUUUCACUUGAGAAGUCUCUCUCUUAGCGACUCGAAGAUUGAAUUGCUGGACCCGGAAGAUGUUCGUUACACCAAAACAACUAUCAAAGCUCCCCCUUCUGGUUCUUCCUACCAACACACAAAUCCUAUUCUCGUGUACCGUGCUUUCGACGAGAACUGGGCGUUGGACGGAAAUCGACGGUUAUGUUCGUUCAAGAAAGCUAGGGAGUACAACAGGGGGCAGACGAUCCAGGCCAUUGUGAAGGACGACGAGGAUGAGUUCUUGGAGAAAAUGAGGUCUGACCGACCCUGGCUAACCGUGUUGGACAUUUUGCAAAUGGGUGAAACAGAAACAGUAGAAUGAUGUGAUAAAACCGUGUACUUUUUUGACAAAUUCCUAUUACAUAGUACACUACCACCGUAAUAGUACACUACCACCGUAAUAGUACACUACCACCGUAAUAGUACACUACCACAGUAACAGUACACUACCACCGUAAUAGUACACUACCACCAUAACAGUACACUACCACCGUAACAGUACACUACCACCGUAACAGUACACUACCACCGUAAUAGUACACUACCACCGUAACAGUACACUACCACCGUAACAGUACACUACCACCGUAGUAGUACACUAUCACCGUAAUAGUACACUACUACUACAAUUUUUUUACAUCAAAACUAAGAAGGUAUUCGUUGAUUUUCAGCCUUUGCAUAUUUUAUGAGGAAAUAGGUCUCGCUGUGAUGAAUAGUCAAAAUAUUUUUCAGCUGUACCUAUUAUGUCAUUUUUACGAAUCCAAUAUUGUGUGUGCUAAAGUGCGAAUUUGUCUAGUAAUGCAGUAUUUGAUAAAACGGGACCUGUCUGUCCGGGCACCUGCCUGUCCGACUCGUAGUCAGUAUAUUGAUAUACUUCUCAGGAACUACUGAUUGACUUUUCUUGAAACGUUUAUGUACAUUUCAAGUUUGAGUUCCAUUUGGACAAGCCAGAUUUUGAACCUGAUUCAAUUUUAAUUUAACACAUGAGUCCCAAAUUUUUUAUUCGACGUUUGAAGUAUGUUACCAACUUACUAGUAUUCCUCAGUGAUUACCGAAAAUGCAUCGAGUCUCUAUUAACAUGUUAAUAUCAGUUCUAGUUGUUCUAGUUCCGCUGUCCUCGUGGAACAUACCUAAAAACAUUUAAUUAACAUAAUAAAGCUCUCAUUCAGAAAUCAUAUUCAUAAUAUAUUCAUAAAUUUGGAUUCGUAAGUAUCCUAUGAUCAGAAAAAAAUCUUAUCAAAAUAUAUUAAUACUCUACUAAUCAUUCCUAAGAGCCAGCGACUGUGACCGGUGAAGCCAUAAUUUGGUUGAUCUAUUUCCAAUAUCAGUAUCUGUGAGUACAGAUAUUUCCAAUUUAUUCUAAAGAUUGCAUAUGUACUCAUCACUACGUCUAAAUAAGUUGUUGAUAUUACAAUAUAUUUGGCCGUAACUAAUAUAAUUGUCGUCGUUAGGUAUGUAACCAGGCAUAAUAGCAUUUUGUGGAUGGACACAUGUACAUUAAACAUUCCGAUAAAUCA
Molecule: long non-coding RNA, 2211 nt
Organism: Pecten maximus
Lineage: Eukaryota; Metazoa; Mollusca; Bivalvia; Pectinida; Pectinidae
Exons: 2
Source: RefSeq, a predicted model, not a curated record